UAAUGAGAAAGAAUAUACAGUGUGAAGUUCUAAUGACAGAAUUUUGUCGUGUACAUUCUGGUACUUUUCUAUGCAUUUUAUUGUGCUUUUCUCUUUUUUAAAUUAAGAUUCUUGUCCCUAAAGUUGCUAUUUAUUACUGUACAUGAGUUUGCAUUGUUCUGUGUUUUUAUAACCUGCACUGUGUUUGAACA
Thalassophryne amazonica is the source of this 191-nucleotide long non-coding RNA. RefSeq lists it as uncharacterized. Lineage: Eukaryota; Metazoa; Chordata; Actinopteri; Batrachoidiformes; Batrachoididae. The record is from RefSeq and is a predicted model, not a curated record. The transcript is spliced from 3 exons.